AAUUACAAUUGAAAACCAUAUAAAUAGUAAAAGCAUAACCCUACCAGUGAUGAGUUUGGGCCAAACCAAUAAUACAAACCCAAUAACUAGAAAAAGUAAAAUAGUGCGAUAAUAAUAUAAGUGAUGUCCGCAUCAUAAUUGAAUUGAAUUUUCUUUACUCACAAGCAUACCUUUCUAUGUGCUAAUAGUUUUCUUGAAUUUUUUAGAAAAGUUUAGCCUCUCCUUUGAAGGCUUUGGUGUUGGCAGCUCCUGCUCCAUCAUCCUCUGCUGGAGCUGUUUCGUCCAAACCAGCUGAUGAAGGGACCACGCUUAAAGAGAAACCUUCAGUCCCGGAACCUUCAUCACAAUUAAUGGACGAGCCACCUUCUUCCCAGGGCGCCAACCCCCCAAACGUCGAACCAGAAGGUAAUACAUUUUCGAUGUUUUACCUUUGCUUGUGCUAUUGGUUUCUGAUUUGUUGCUUCUUUAAUCAUGCAGAGGCUCCCAUGGGUCUGUCCAUUGUGACAGAGUAUUCUCGCCCAGACAAGGGGAAGUCUCUCCUGGUGAUGGGGCCACAGGUGGUGGAGCCAACUAGUGAUAUGCCACCCUCCAAGAUUGCUGACGAGGUCACAUUUUGCUUCACUUUUAUUUUCACUUUGUUUAUUGUAGUGAAAACCUUCAACGUUGGCAUUUUUCUUUGCAGGAUGCUGAUGAGAUUGUGCGUUCCAUCCAGGACUUGUUCACUUUCUGGGGGCAAAUCAAAACGUCUCGCCCUGCUUCAACCGGUCGUCCUUGUGCUUCUUCAGAGGAAGACAUGAAGUUCGUCAAGCAGUCGAUAUUUGAGUAUGUAUCUUUUAUGGAUAUGGACAUCGGUCAGGCUAGUGCUGUCAAACAUAAAGAUAAACUUGAGUAUUUGAGUGCGAAGUUGGCGCAAGCACUGACACUUCCGUCGCUCAACAUUUCUGCUGAUUUUAAAGCGACGUUGAAAGUUGUCCACUUUGACAUCCUCUCUUUGCUGGCAAAUAAUAUUGGACUGAAAGCCAAGAGUACUCAAUAUCUUUGCGCUGCUUCUGAAAGAGAGUCUUUGCUUCGAGAGAUCAACAAAGCUGAGAACGAAUUGAAAGAAAUCUGUUCCGAAGUUAUGAUUGAAGACUCUUUGAUGACCAGUUUGGCUGCACAGAUGAAGGAGUUUCAAGCAAGGAUGGAUGACUACAAGGCGAGAAUGGCUGCUAAAAAGCUUAAUGCUUUCCAAGGAAUUGAACGAACCAAGUCUUUGGUCGAGCUGUACAAGAAGCUGGAGGUUGAUGAUAAUUAUGUAGCUGAAUUGAAUGUCACUUCUUCUCAACAGAGCGAGGAUUGGAGGAGACUUAGAGAAAGAAUUCGUUCGGUCUGGGGCGAAUUGUAAUUAAGACAUCUAAUACCUUAACUUUUCUUUUUGUAACUUCGUAUUAACUUUCCUCUUGUAACCUCGUACUGAUAGCCAUUGCCAAUUUUGGAUGUAACAGCAGUCAUUGUCAUUAAUGAACAACUUAUUUGUCUUCUUGUGUAUUUAUUGAUGUUUGUCUUUAAUCGUCAACCCUCC
Molecule: long non-coding RNA, 1561 nt
Filed under: Olea europaea subsp. europaea
Lineage: Eukaryota; Viridiplantae; Streptophyta; Magnoliopsida; Lamiales; Oleaceae
Source: RNAcentral